GUGGGGAAUUUUGGACAAUGGGCGCAAGCCUGAUCCAGCCAUGCCGCGUGCAGGAUGAAGGCCUUCGGGUUGUAAACUGCUUUUGUACGGAACGAAAAGGUGCCUUCUAAUAAAGGGCGCUCAUGACGGUACCGUAAGAAUAAGCACCGGCUAACUACGUGCCAGCAGCCGCGGUAAUACGUAGGGUGCGAGCGUUAAUCGGAAUUACUGGGCGUAAAGCGUGCGCAGGCGGUUUUGUAAGACAGAGGUGAAAGCCCCGGGCUCAACCUGGGAACUGCCUUUGUGACUGCAAGGCUCGAGUGCAGCAGAGGGGAAUGGAAUUCCGCGUGUAGCAGUGAAAUUCGUAGCUAUACGGAGGAACACCGAUGGCAAAGGCAAUCCCCUGGGCCGGCACUGACGCUC
This 402-nucleotide ribosomal RNA is filed under the name uncultured bacterium. Its description in RNAcentral is "bacterial SSU rRNA". It matches the Rfam family "Bacterial small subunit ribosomal RNA", at positions 354 to 748 of the family's 1533-position model. The record is from RNAcentral.